AGAAUCAACGCUGGCGGCGUGCCUCAGACAUGCAAGUCGUACGAUUAAAGCUCUCUUCGGAGAGUGCAUAAAGUGGCGUACGGGUGAGUAACACGUAAGUAAUCUACCUUUGAGUGGGGAAUAACAGUCGGAAAGGAACGCUAAUACCGCAUGACGUUCUGGGUUUGAAGACCUGGAAACCAAAGCCGGGGACCGUAAGGCCUGGCGCUUGGAGAGGAGCCCGCGUCCGAUUAGCUAGUUGGCAGGGUAACGGCCCACCAAGGCAACGAUCGGUA
This 275-nucleotide ribosomal RNA is filed under the name uncultured bacterium. Its description in RNAcentral is "partial small subunit ribosomal RNA". It matches the Rfam family "Bacterial small subunit ribosomal RNA", at positions 26 to 285 of the family's 1533-position model. The record is from RNAcentral.